GGAUCAUCUCACACACACUGCAGAUGGCACAGAAGGUUCCACUACGGCCUCCCCCAUUUCUAAACACAGAGCAAAGAGGAUAAUACUCAAAGGACUGCCCGUGUGGAAAUUCUGGAUCAGCCAGCUUGGGGUAGCUGUGAAGAUGAGUAGCAUCCUAGAUAUGGGAUACUGCAUGUCAAAAUACAGAGAUCUGUGGGUUGCUCCGAUGAGCUGAAUGACCCAGAAGAUAAAAGAGGAAGGUUGAGAUCACUGUAGAAGCAGUGAGAAACCAGCAAGAAACUGAGCUCGGCUCCCUGGCUCACAUAGACAUGGAACAGAGAUCACAUCUGUGAGUGGAGGAGCCAGACUUUUCAUAUAAGCACAUGUAAAACUUUUGAAGUUGGCUGAUCCAAGAAUAGAUUCAAAUUCUUCAGCCAAGAGUCUAGACCAACUGACUUUUUCCACUUCAUUGCCUAGUUGACCCUUUGGGCCCGGAGCUCACGCACGCAGUUGAAGAUGUCCACCACCCCUUCAUUCUCGGCCAUGUCAAGCAUGGUGUCAAUGGCAAUGAAGCAGCCAGUCCGCCCAGCCCCAGCACUGGAAGAGAGCAAAUGGGUUGACGGAUGGAAGCAAAGAAGGAGAGGAGAGAGAACAGAGGGGAGAUGAAUGACAGGACAGAAACGAGAGUCCUCUGAGCUGUCCCCAAGACAGAGAGUGGUUGGUGGAGCACCACGUUCAAAGGCCGGCAUCUGGCUCCACCUGCAGCUGUUUUCGCAGGAUCGUGAAGCAAGAGUGUCAUGAAACUGGAGCAGCUGACCGUCCGGAGACCCUUGUCAGGGAUCAAGUUUCUUGAUACAUACUUACUUGAUUUCUGGUCACUAGUGGCUUCUUUAGGAGAAUCUCAGACCAAGUAUAAAAUGGUAGGGGAACUCAACGAGACUCUAUGGGCCUUGGCCAGCCCUUUCUAGAUCAGUGCUGGGCUCUGAAACAUCAGUGCUGACCAAGAGGCACGUAAGACAUGUGCCUUACACAUGUGCAGUUUUGGAUGGGAAGGCCGGGCAGCCUGUCAAGGAGGCCCCCUUCCGCUGCGUUUUCACAUCUUGCCUUUCUCAUGGAAACAAGUGUCUUUGUCUAACAAUGUAGAUGUCAAAAGACACACAAAGAGGAAGAGAGAUGGAACAAGACAAAAAAGCAAUAUUGGCUCAUGGUAAAUCCAAGGGGCACAGGCCAGUGCGGACCACUACCUACAACAAUUUGGAAAGUACACCCAUUGGAAGCAGAGUCUUCAUUCAUGAGAAACUUUCAUGGUUUGAAUGAAGUCUGACUUAAGUUUGCUUCAGAACCUACUCCCCAAAAUCCAGAUGCGGGGACUCAAGAGACUUGGCCUCUGUGUCUGGGAGGGAGUAUAGGGGGGGUCACUCGUGUUUUUUUCUUCAAUGUUCAUAUUCACCAUGCUUUAGUAUAAAGAAUCAGCCCAAUUUGGUUCCAAAUUUUGGAACAACUAUCAAUCAAUCAGCGGUGACCAAGUUGCCUAGUGUCCGUUUGUUUGUUAGCUUCAGAUUUCUGAUGCUUUUAACAUACCUCCCUGCAGGGUCCUUGUGAGGACAAAGCUGUGUUUAUUUCAUUUCAGCAUCACAUAGUAAUUGAACACAGGAUAUUUGAAAAGACCCCCUAGGAUUAAAUCCUGGCUCUAUUACUUAUUAGCUGCAUGACCUCGGGCAAAUGACUUAACCUCUCUGGGUUUCAAUACUCAUCUAUAAAAUGAUGUUGAUAAUAAUUAAAAUACUCACUCAUCUAUAAAAUGAUGUUGAUAAUAAUUAAUAGAUCCACCUCACAGCAUUAAUAGCACAAUAUGUAUAAAUUGGAUGAAA
This 1850-nucleotide long non-coding RNA is filed under the name Homo sapiens (human). Its description in RNAcentral is "HSALNT0401102". The record is from RNAcentral. Lineage: Eukaryota; Metazoa; Chordata; Mammalia; Primates; Hominidae.